UACGAAGGGGGCUAGCGUUGUUCGGAGUUACUGGGCGUAAAGAGUGCGUAGGCGGUUUUCUAAGUUUGGUGUGAAAUCUCCCGGCUCAACUGGGAGGGUGCGCCGAAGACUGGAAGGCUUGAGUAUGGGAGAGGUAAGCGGAAUUCCUGGUGUAGCGGUGAAAUGCGUAGAUAUCAGGAGGAACACCUGCGGUGUAGACGGCUUACUGGACCAUAACUGACGCUGAGGCACGAAAGCGUGGGUAGCAAACAGG
Molecule: ribosomal RNA, 253 nt
Filed under: uncultured bacterium
Lineage: Bacteria
Description: partial 16S ribosomal RNA
Rfam family: Bacterial small subunit ribosomal RNA
Source: RNAcentral